This 494-nucleotide ribosomal RNA is filed under the name uncultured bacterium. RNAcentral's name for it is "partial 16S ribosomal RNA". It matches the Rfam family "Bacterial small subunit ribosomal RNA", at positions 28 to 507 of the family's 1533-position model. The record is from RNAcentral.
GACGAACGCUGGCGGCGUGCUUAACACAUGCAAGUCGAACGGUGAAGCGCCUUCCUUUUUGGUGGGUGUGGAUGAGUGGCGAACGGGUGAGUAACACGUGAGUAACCUGCCCCCUUCUUCUGGAUAACCGCAUGAAAGUGUGGCUAAUACGGGAUAUUCUGGGUCUGUCGCAUGAUGGGUCUGGGAAAGAUAUUGUUUCGGUGGGGGAUGGGCUCGCGGCCUAUCAGCUUGUUGGUGGGGUGAUGGCCUACCAAGGCGGUGACGGGUAGCCGGCCUGAGAGGGUGGACGGUCACACUGGGAAGGAGACACGGCACAGACUCCUACGGGAGGCAGCAGUGGGGAAUAUUGCACAAUGGGCGCAAGCCUGAUGCAGCGACGCCGCGUGAGGGAUGGAGGCCUUCGGGUUGUGAACCUCUUUCGCCAGUGAAGCAGGCCUGCCUCGUUUGUGGGUGGGUUGACGGUAGCUGGAUAAGAAGCGCCGGCUAACUACGUG